GUUUGUCUGAAACCAGCUAGCUUGCAAAAGACUGAACCUUUGGGGGCAAAUCUACUUUAUUGAAUAGGAAAGGGCCACAUUGUGAAUACAUUAGUCGCAUUGGUUAGCACCUACUCCCACAUGUAGCCCUGUGAGAGUUAUUGCUCACUGUGUCUUUCAAACAGUGUUGGAGACCCAAAUACAAAAGCACUGAGCUUGUGUAUGAGAACUAGCAAUUCACUACACAAAAGAAUGAAACUGACCUCUCUAUAAGAUAAAAGGAAACAAAUAAACUUCAAAGGGAUAUGGUGACAUGCGAAUCUUCACAGGACUCUUGUUUUUCUACUAUCUGCUGGACAACUAAGGAGAUCAUCAGGCUGCUGGGAUGAGUGCCAGAUGGUAGGCAGUACACUCUCAGAAAGCUCGACUUUGGUUUGGAACAUGUCUCCCCUCCUUGGAGAUUCUACUUUCUUCUAGAAGGAUACGACUCGGGACCACCCUCUAUUUUGCAAGUGUGUGCACAGUGCGGUGUCUUGGGAAUAGGUUUAUGAACAGAGAGCCUGACAGUAGAAUAAUCAAGUUCCAGAAGCUUAUUGUAGGAGAGCACUUAGACCCUGGGAGCCGAUUCUCCAUUCUGCUUCACAAGUUUACGGCAGUGUAACUCUUCUAUUGCCUUCAGUGAAGUUACACUAGUGUAAAGCUGUUGUGACAGAAUGGAGAAUCAUUCCUUUGGAUUAUAAAUACUUACAAAACCCAUAAGAUAACUAGAUAACAUAAGUAUUCAAGAUCACUUAUGAUGGAGCAGGUCUGGAAGAAACGUGUGUUGCUGCUGUUAAUUAUGCAAAAUAACCCCCCAAAAAAUCACAUUCACCUUGUGCCCGUCUUACUAACGCAGGUUGCAAAUCAGCAUGCGGUUGUUAUUGAGGGAACAGUUCUGUGAUUUAUGUAAUCUAAAAACGUGCACAGGGAUUCCCC
Molecule: long non-coding RNA, 954 nt
Organism: Mauremys mutica (yellowpond turtle)
Lineage: Eukaryota; Metazoa; Chordata; Testudines; Geoemydidae
Exons: 5
Source: RefSeq, a predicted model, not a curated record